This 233-nucleotide ribosomal RNA is filed under the name uncultured bacterium. Its description in RNAcentral is "partial 16S ribosomal RNA". It matches the Rfam family "Bacterial small subunit ribosomal RNA", at positions 100 to 334 of the family's 1533-position model. The record is from RNAcentral.
CGGGACGGGUGAGUAAUGCUUGGGAAUCUAGCUUAUGAGGGGGAGUAACUACGGGAAACUGUAGCUAAUACCGCGUAAUAUCGAAAGAUUAAAGUGUGGGACCCUCGGGCCACAUGCCAUAGGAUGAGCCCAAGUGGGAUUAGGUAGUUGGUGAGGUAAAGGCUCACCAAGCCGACGAUCUCUAGCUGGUCUGAGAGGAUGACCAGCCACACUGGGACUGAGACACGGCCCAG